CCUACGGGUGGCAGCAGUGGGGAAUAUUGGACAAUGGGGGGAACCCUGAUCCAGCGACGCCGCGUGAGUGAAGAAGUAUUUCGGUAUGUAAAGCUCUAUCAGCAGGGAAGAAAGAAAUGACGGUACCUGACUAAGAAGCCCCGGCUAACUACGUGCCAGCAGCCGCGGUAAUACGUAGGGGGCAAGCGUUAUCCGGAUUUACUGGGGGUAAAGGGAGCGUAGACGGCGAUGCAAGUCUGAAGUGAAAGGCGGGGGCCCAACCCCUGGACUGCUUUGGAAACUGUAUGGCUGGGGUGCAGGAGAGGUAAGUGGAAUUCCUAGUGUAGCGGUGAAAUGCGUAGAUAUUAGGAGGAACACCAGUGGCGAAGGCGGCUUACUGGACUGUAACUGACGUUGAGGCUCGAAAGCGUGGGGAGCAAACAGGAUUAGAUACCCCAGUAGU
Molecule: ribosomal RNA, 442 nt
Filed under: uncultured bacterium
Lineage: Bacteria
Description: partial 16S ribosomal RNA
Rfam family: Bacterial small subunit ribosomal RNA
Source: RNAcentral